RNAcentral lists this unclassified non-coding RNA (352 nucleotides) under soil metagenome. RNAcentral's name for it is "partial contains 5.8S ribosomal RNA, internal transcribed spacer 2, and large subunit ribosomal RNA". The stretch from base 1 to 120 matches the Rfam family "5.8S ribosomal RNA", at positions 35 to 154 of the family's 154-position model. The record is from RNAcentral.
GAUGAAGAACGUAGCGAAAUGCGAUAAGCAAUGUGAAUUGCAGAAUUCAGUGAAUCAUCGAAUCUUUGAACGCACAUUGCGCCCGCCAGUAUUCUGGCGGGCAUGCCUGUUCGAGCGUCAUUACAACCCUCAGGCCCCCGGGCCUGGCGUUGGGGAUCGGCGGAGCCCCCCGUGGGCACACGCCGUCCCCCAAAUGCAGUGGCGGUCCCGCCGCAGCUUCCAUCGCGUAGUAGCUAACACCUCGCGACUGGAGAGCGGCGCGGCCACGCCGUAAAACACCCAACUCUUCUGAAGUUGACCUCGAAUCAGGUAGGAAUACCCGCUGAACUUAAGCAUAUCAAUAAGCGGAGGA